RNAcentral lists this ribosomal RNA (514 nucleotides) under uncultured bacterium. RNAcentral's name for it is "bacterial SSU rRNA". It matches the Rfam family "Bacterial small subunit ribosomal RNA", at positions 24 to 555 of the family's 1533-position model. The record is from RNAcentral.
UCAGGACGAACGCUGGCGGCGUGCUUAACACAUGCAAGUCGAGCGAUGAAGCUCCUUCGGGAGUGGAUUAGCGGCGGACGGGUGAGUAACACGUGGGUAACCUGCCUCAUAGAGGGGAAUAGCCUUUCGAAAGGAAGAUUAAUACCGCAUAUGGUAGCUUUAUCGCAUGGUAAUGCUAUUAAAGGAGUAAUCCGCUAUGAGAUGGACCCGCGUCGCAUUAGCUAGUUGGUGAGGUAACGGCUCACCAAGGCGACGAUGCGUAGCCGACCUGAGAGGGUGAUCGGCCACAUUGGGACUGAGACACGGCCCAGACUCCUACGGGAGGCAGCAGUGGGGAAUAUUGCACAAUGGGGGAAACCCUGAUGCAGCAACGCCGCGUGAGUGAUGACGGCCUUCGGGUUGUAAAACUCUGUCUUUGGGGACGAUAAUGACGGUACCCAAGGAGGAAGCCACGGCUAACUACGUGCCAGCAGCCGCGGUAAUACGUAGGUGGCAAGCGUUGUCCGGAUUUACU